Molecule: long non-coding RNA, 6280 nt
Filed under: Podarcis lilfordi (Lilford's wall lizard)
Lineage: Eukaryota; Metazoa; Chordata; Lepidosauria; Squamata; Lacertidae
Source: RNAcentral
AGUGUUACCAUAAAGCACCAAUGCUGCAGCAAGCAAAGGCUCUAGCAGCUCAGCCAGCUGCUUGUGGCUGGAAAGCCAGGCAGGAUGUUUGUGACUGUUGCCAUGGGAACAAAGGGGCAGUCCAUUCUGUACUGAGCACCGGAUGUUAGCUCAGUGUGUGUGUGUCAUAUGACCCGUACUGGAUGUACUUGGGAGGAGUUUCUUCUUGCUGUUGUUGAGUGCAGACAUGAUUCUCUGUACUGAUGUAAGAGGCAGAAAUAAAUGAUGUAAAUAGUUUUCUGUCUGCUUCUUUCCCUCCCUGGGGACACCAAAGGGGAGAGAGGAAGAACGGUGUGUUCCUCUCAUACAUCUGAGAAGAAUCGCCGGACCUCGCCUGCUUAUCAGCAGAGUGGAGACGCGGGGAGGUCGACAGGAAUAUCUGCCGGUGCCUACGCUGUGGCACAUUCCUCUGACCCAGGCAGAAUUCCAACAGUGGUAGCAGUCGAUGGUUCCGAUCCAUCGGACCUCUGCAUGAGAGGCUGGUGGAUUGUCCUCCUCUGCUCCAAGGAGGAAGAGAAAAGCGUCUGAAAGAAGCCAGAGGCUCCACAGACAGCUGGUGGAAAGAAGAGGUGUUUUUCCAGAGCAACAAAGUUCAAGGUAUGCUGCAUUUCGGGCUAAAAGUGUGAACGCAGGAAGAUUAAUUCCCUGGUUCACGGAGCUGCGUUUCAAAGAAAACAAGAGCUCCGGAGGAAGAGGCCUGCAGCUUGAAGGCUGAAGCCUGCAUUCCACAAAUUUUUGUGGUAGAUAAGGAGUCCCAUUGAAAUGCAUUGUUGCUAGGCAACGGUCCUGGAAAGUUACUGGCAAAGGGGCUGGACUCUGAGUGUGAGCCUGGGAAAGCGAAACAAAAUCAAAGAAUGUUUCGGCUACAAGGUUUACGAGCUCUUGGAAGGGACUUUUCAAUAGCAGCCUGAGUUUAGCUGCCAGGUGCAAAAAGCACAAACAACUUGCAGUUUGCCUGCGUGAGAAAGAAAAAACUGCUGUUGGAUUUUGCAGCUUGUUUGGAGGUGAGAGAGGCUUGGCUUCAAGAUGGAUGCCAAGAAAGGGGGAGGUUUGCCUUGCCCACCUCCCUUAACCAAUGACAAUUAUUCAUCUUGGUCUGUAAAGAUGAAGGCCCUGCUGCAGAAUCAGAGGCUUUUUGAUGUAAUUGAAAACCCCAUCCCUGCAGCACCAACCAGAGGUUGGGAGUCACAGAAUGUAAGGGCCAGGACUGCUAUAAUUCUGUGUGUCUCAGAUGAUCAGUUGGUGCAUGUUCAGCAUUUAGAAAAUGCGAAAGAGGUAUGGGACACGCUGCGUACAACGCAUCAGAGAGAUGCUGGUUCUUCAGCGUUGCUGUAUUUUGAGAAAUUGACCAAUCUGAGACUUGCGCCUGAUGGAGAUGUUCAAGCGCACCUGACAGAAAUGAAGUUUCUGCGUCAACAGAUGGUGGAACGCAAUUUCCGUCUUCAGGAGGAAGUGUUUUGCUUCAUGAUGAUAAACAGCCUUAGCCGCACCUACAAGGUUGUUGCCAGUCAGCUUGGUUCCCUACCGGCCGCGCAGCUGACCGCGGAGAGAGUUUGUGCUGUGGUCCUGAAUGAACACGACAGACUUGCUGCACUGGAAGAAAAAGACAGGGGGAGGGAAGAACAGAGUUCUAAUUCCCCACUGCUGAUGCUACUGGAGAGCAUGGUGUAGCAUUGAGUGCUGUCCGAUGCUACAAUUGUGGACAGACUGGGCAUCUACAGCGAAACUGUAAGAAGCCGCGCCAGUCAAGAGGAGCAAAGAGCAGCUCUACGAAGCCUCAGGCGUCAGGCAAAAGCCGUUCCAAGUGCCAGGUGAAACCUGCAAAGGCUAUGAUGGCGAAAGGAACCACGCCAGAUGUUGGGAACUCGUUCAUAAUUGACACGGGCGCAACGGUUCACAUGUGCCCGCACAGAGGACUAUUUUCGACGUUGAAGAAGCAAAGCUUCACUGUGAAACAGGCCAACGGUCAGGAGUUGGAAGCGACUGGAAUUGGGACUGUGUAUCUUGAGAGUCUGAACUUGACUAUAAGUGAUGUUUACCUGGUUCCAGAACUGAGAUUUAAUCUGCUGAGCGUGUCGCAGAUUGCAAAGAAAGGACUGAAACUGUCCUAUGAUGCUAAAAGCUGCAAGAUCUACAAAGAUGGAGAACUGUUUCUUACUGCCAAAGAGAAAGAUGGACUGUAUUUGUUGACUUUUGAUCAAAGUGAUUACAUGAAAUGUAAUUCUUCUGUUUCUAACGAAAUCUCUCUUGCAGGAGUGACCAGUGUGAGCACCAGGAAGGUGACUAAGACCAAGAAGGUCGACAGAGCAUUUCAGCGGGUGUAUGCUGAUGUGAUUGGUCCUCUAGAACCAUCUAGAGGCGGUGCAAAAUAUUACCUUUUGUGUGUGGAUUGUUUCACUAAUUAUUCUUGGGUUUAUAUGAUGGAGAAACCGCAAGAAACUUUAGAAAAGUUUCAGGAGUUUUGUGACAAGGUUAAAAGUAUGCAUGAUGCUAACAUUGAUUGUCUUUUCACAGAUGAGAAGCAAAUUUUUCUGUUGCAGAAGUUUCAGAAGUUCCUGGAUGGAAAAGGGAUAGACCACAAAGUGGCUGUUUCGCAAGAAGCGUGGAACAGGGGGGUCUGUGUAAGAGUGAACAAAGAAUUGCAAAAGGGGAUGAAUGCGCAAUUGCUGAGUUCACAUUUGCCACAUGAAUAUUGGGCUGAGUCGCUAGCGUCCUAUCUUCAUGUGUGGUUGAGAAAGGUCUCAACAGAGUUGGGAUGUUCUCCUUUUGAGAAGCUGUUCAAUAGAAAACCUUCUGUUGCCUAUUUUAAGGUUUUCGGGUCUCAUGUGAGAACAGAAGCUCCAGGUGGAGUAAAGAAUGCCAGAGGCAUUUUCGUAGGUUAUGAAAAAGGUCUCUACAGAGUAAUUUUGUCUGAAUCUGGUCAGGUGAUUCUCACAAAGUUCCUAGAGAGUGCUCCAAAGCAAGAGCGGAUAGUACAGACAUUUCCCACAGGAAACGAUUCUGAUGAUGAUGAUGAUGAGUUUGAUCUUAUUGAGUUCAGUAGUACUGAUGAUGACAGUGAGAGCUCAGAGAGUUCAGUUGUCACAGUCAUUGAGAGGAAAUCUCACACAAUGGAUAGACCUUCACAGGUGAAGGAAGAACCACUGAUUGCUACUGGUUCUCAACAGAGUCCAAAGGUUGAACCAGUGAGCACAGAGGAUCAGAACCUCAUACGUAGGUCUGAGAGAGCAACGAAGGGUGUACCACCCAAGAGGUAUUCAAAGGAGUUUGCUAACCUUGCAUAUGUUGCUAUUGUAAACGACCAAGGACAGCUUGAAGCUGUGUCUGAGUCAGAGACAAAGGCACAACAGAGAGGUGUUAACCAAGGUAAUGCGAAGUCACACAACCAGAGAGGUACAUUGGUUAAACCAGUGGCGGGUAGUUCCAAGGGUGGAACUGAAACAACAGGGGAAUGUUAUAAAUAUAACAACUGUUUGUUUUCUUCUCUGGAUGACGCUUUGCUCGCAGCACACAUUGAUACUUUAGGGGGAGUAUGUUACCAUAAAGCACCAAUGCUGCAGCAAGCAAAGGCUCUAGCAGCUCAGCCAGCUGCUUGUGGCUGGAAAGCCAGGCAGGAUGUUUGUGACUGUUGCCAUGGGAACAAAGGGGCAGUCCAUUCUGUACUGAGCACCGGAUGUUAGCUCAGUGUGUGUGUGUCAUAUGACCCGUACUGGAUGUACUUGGGAGGAGUUUCUUCUUGCUGUUGUUGAGUGCAGACAUGAUUCUCUGUACUGAUGUAAGAGGCAGAAAUAAAUGAUGUAAAUAGUUUUCUGUCUGCUUCUUUCCCUCCCUGGGGACACCAAAGGGGAGAGAGGAAGAACGGUGUGUUCCUCUCAUACAUCUGAGAAGAAUCGCCGGACCUCGCCUGCUUAUCAGCAGAGUGGAGACGCGGGGAGGUCGACAGGAAUAUCUGCCGGUGCCUACGCUGUGGCACAUUCCUCUGACCCAGGCAGAAUUCCAACACCCAGUGCCCUAAAGGAACUCAGGCUUUGCGGCUCCCAAUUUGUAAAUACAUUAGUGGGAAGCACCGCUUUCCCAAAGGCAAAUUCCUUGCUCCCUCAAAGCAAUGCAGUUCCACUAUCAUUUUUUAAACAGACUCAUUCCUCUAGCAGUGUGUAUUCUGCGAGAUCCUCCGCUCUCACGCCUUGGAAGUGAGUGACAGCAUUUCAAAAGCCUGGUAGAGUGGGGUGUGUGUGUGUGGAAUUGGCUUCUUUGUGGUACAUAACGCUGCUUAGGCGAAAGCCCCAUAUGUUGCUGAGUUAUCUAUUCUCAAUCCCAUGGCAUUAUCUCUUGUGAUCCUGUCACUAGCUCCCCAGACACCCAAGGUUAAAUAAAAUAUCAUUUCCUUCUGAUUUAGCUUUUGUCUUUUGCAUUUUAAAAAAGCUUUAAAGGUCCCCAUGGAUUCAACCUUUCAGGCCAGAGCAGUACAUGGGAAACCCCUUCCCAGGCAUUUCACUCUAGAUAAUGUCAUGCUUGAUUCAUGAGAUUAUUCAAAGCACUGCUUUCCGUUGUUGUUGCUGCUGCUGCUGCUUGGAGCUUUGAUGGUUCUUGGCUUGGGUCCUUUCAGCUUCUUCCCAACGCCACCUCUUAUUGUCACAGUCACAAACCUGCUCCUUGGAGAGCAGAAAUAAAGGCCAUGAUCAAAUGAGACGAGAAAUAUCAGCCAGCUCUUGUAAUGAUCCUGGGGGCGGGGAUUAAGGGGGAGAAGCUGUGAGAGCUUUUAAGGCUCUACAUGACAGGUGUCAUCUAGAGAAUGAGAAAGCAAAGGGGCUUGUGGAAUUCUCUUGUAAAGAACAGGACCACACUGGAUAAUAUAGCACGGGAGUGAGAGGCCUGUGGCUCUCUGGAUGUUGCUGGAUUCCAACUCUCAUCUCUCAACUUUUCCACUUUUGAUUUUAAAACAUAUGUCGCGGUGCACAUUAUCACAGAUCGAUGUUGUAUAUUUGUUUAUGGACACAGCACAGCCCAAGUAUUUCAGAUAUUUAAAUUUUCAAAUUUCAGUACACACUUGCAUGGUUGUCAGAAACCACUUCCUAAUCCAAACAGAGUUUUGCCAGAUAAAAUAGACACUCCACGGUCAGAAGGAACAUGCCUCUUAAUACCAUUUGCUGGGAAUCCCAAGUCGCAGGCCUCCCAUUGGCAUUCAUUGGCCACUGUGAGAACACAAUGUUAGACUAGAAGGGCCUUUGGCCUGAUUCUUGUGUCUAACAUGAGCAGGAGUCUUCUGUUAGCUAAGAUUCAACAUUCACAAUGGCAACCAACACACACGGUGAAAUAAUAUAUACAAUUGCCAAUGCUGGCGUCAGUUUCGGUUUGGGGGGGCUUCCGGUUUGGGUCGCGGACAGCGAGGAAGCGCAGAAAGCCCUUGUCAGGGUUUUCUGAGAAACACGGGGGCUUCGGGGAGAUGCAAAGGCACUGCUGGCGUCAGUUUUCUGUGGGAGCCCUUGAGCAAGAUGGGCCUCCCUCUAGGAGUGUGCUCACCUCCAUAUUGCCAUUGUCACUGCUCUUGUUCACUCGCCUUCUGCCUCUUGUUGCUGCUGGCAUGCUUGGAGAAGACAGGUGAACAGACAGAGGCAGCAAGGAGUCUCUCAUGGCAAAAUAUCACCCUGGACACCAGCAUUGACUAACAUCAAGUAGAUAAACGUCCCACAGAGCUAGAGUGGCUGAGCUAUGAAGCAGGAAGUUCUGCUUCUGCCAUCAUCUCAUGAGGUAGCCUUAAGCAAAUUUUAACCUCUUGGCCUCCUAUUUACAGUAGAAGUAACAAUCCUGACUGCCUUACAGAGUUGCCAUAAGGUUUACUGGGAAAAUGUAAGCAAAGCACACUAAACACUCAGAAGAGCUACUUAAAUGCUACAUAUCAUUAUUAUUGUCCUGUAUUUAUCCAACACCUACGAUAAGAGAGGGCAGCGCUAAUGGGAAUUUAUUGUUGACAAUUUCAUACCUGGGGAGGCCCACAUUAGUGAAUUGGUGAUGUUGGAUGUUUUGAAUUGUUUUUAGGAGGUUGUUUUUAAAAGUUUGAAUUGUAAUAUAUUAUUGACAUAUUUGUCACCCUGUGUUCUUUCAGGAGGAAGGCUGGGUUGAAAAUUUAUUGAAUGAAUGUUGCUACCCAGUUUUAGUUUUGUCCUUUUUUACCUAUUUCCCUGUGUAAAUGAAACUAUCUUGCAACCAUUCUUGGGGUGGAGCAACACAUUUCAAUGGAAGA